RNAcentral lists this transfer RNA (54 nucleotides) under Cervus nippon (sika deer). RNAcentral describes it as "partial tRNA-Phe". The record is from RNAcentral. Lineage: Eukaryota; Metazoa; Chordata; Mammalia; Artiodactyla; Cervidae.
GUUAAUGUAGCUUAAACAACAAAGCAAGGCACUGAAAAUGCCUAGAUGAGUAUA